CAGCCGUAAACGAUGCGCGUUAGGUGUAUCGACGACCACGAGUCGUCGAGGUGCCGAAGGGAAACCGUGAAACGUGCCGCCUGGGAAGUACGGUCGCAAGGCUGAAACUUAAAGGAAUUGGCGGGGGAGCACCACAACAGGUGGAGCCUGCGGUUUAAUUGGACUCAACGCCGGAAAUCUCACCGGAUAAGACAGCAGAAUGAUUGCCGGGCUGAAGACUCUGCAUGACUAGCUGAGAGGAGGUGCAUGGCGUAGUCGUGU
RNAcentral lists this ribosomal RNA (261 nucleotides) under uncultured archaeon. Its description in RNAcentral is "partial 16S ribosomal RNA". It matches the Rfam family "Archaeal small subunit ribosomal RNA", at positions 748 to 1009 of the family's 1478-position model. The record is from RNAcentral.